Molecule: non-coding RNA, 699 nt
Organism: Cajanus cajan (pigeon pea)
Lineage: Eukaryota; Viridiplantae; Streptophyta; Magnoliopsida; Fabales; Fabaceae
Source: RefSeq, a predicted model, not a curated record
GUAAUAUACUGAAAACUAGUUUCGGUCAUCUUUGUGUAUACUGUAGUUCUCACUUAUCAGACAAUCUAUGCCCCUAGUCCGUAGAUUCAUGUGAGGGGUAAUAAACUAGUUUAAGCAUUUAUGGACUUGAUUGAUGAUCGGUAAGAUAGUAGCUUAUUGCUUGAGCCAAAUAUGGAAUAUAUGAGAUGAUAAUGAGAAGUAUUUUUACUCAAUUGCAACAUAUAAGAAUCGUGAUAUGCCUCUUGAUAUAAUUUAAUUUUUAUAUUUUGCAGUGAUUCAUGAAGCAGAGGGUCCAACUCCAUAUUCUCAAUAUGAACAUUCGUCUAUUCCUGCCACAGUAAAGAAGCUUUUCAAUUUGAAAUCCAAUUUCUUGACAAAAAGAGAUGCAUGGGCUGGUACCUUUGAAAAAUACUUUUACAUUCGAGAUACUCCUCGUGAUGAUUGUCCAGAAACUCUUCCGGAGAUAAAGACACUAAGGUCACAUGGACCAAGAGAAGACUCGAGACUUUCAGAAUUCCAAAUGGAAUUGAUUCAGCUUGCAUCUCAGCUCAAUGGUGAUUAUGUACUCAACUCAUAUCCAAACAUUGGUAAGACCAUGACAGUGAAAGAAGCAAACAGGUAUGCAGAAGAUGCAGUGAGGAGGUUCCUGGAAGCUGCAAAGGCUGCUCUUAAAGCUGGGGCUAAUGAUUCAGCCAUUGU